AACGCGUUAAGCAUCCCGCCUGGGGAGUACGGCCGCAAGGCUAAAACUCAAAGAAAUUGACGGGGGCCCGCACAAGCGGCGGAGCAUGCGGAUUAAUUCGAUGCAACGCGAAGAACCUUACCUGGGCUUGACAUGUUCCCGACGGUCGUAGAGAUAUGGCUUCCCUUCGGGGCGGGUUCACAGGUGGUGCAUGGUCGUCGUCAGCUCGUGUCGUGAGAUGUUGGGUUAAGUCCCGCAACGAGCGCAACCCUCGCCCCGUGUUGCCAGCGGAUUAUGCCGGGAACUCACGGGGGACCGCCGGGGUUAACUCGGAGGAAGGUGGGGAUGACGUCAGAUCAUCAUGCCCCUUACGUCCAGGGCUUCACGCAUGCUACAAUGGCCGGUACAACGGGAUGCGACGCGGCGACGCGGAGCGGAUCCCUGAAAACCGGUCUCAGUUCGGAUCGCAGUCUGCAACUCGACUGCGUGAAGGCGGAGUCGCUAGUAAUCGCGAAUCAGCAACGUCGCGGUGAAUGCGUUCCCGGGCCUUGUACACACCGCCCGGCACACCACGAAAGUCGGUUUUACCCGAAGCCGGUGAGCUAACUCGCAAGAGAAGCAGCCGUCUACGGUAGGGCCGAUGAUUGGGGUGAAGUCGUAACAAGGUAGCCGUAGGGGAACCUGCGGCUGGAUCACCUCCUUU
This 682-nucleotide ribosomal RNA is filed under the name Bifidobacterium sp. RNAcentral describes it as "bacterial SSU rRNA". It matches the Rfam family "Bacterial small subunit ribosomal RNA", at positions 854 to 1533 of the family's 1533-position model. Lineage: Bacteria; Bacillati; Actinomycetota; Actinomycetes; Bifidobacteriales; Bifidobacteriaceae. The record is from RNAcentral.